This 253-nucleotide ribosomal RNA is filed under the name uncultured bacterium. RNAcentral describes it as "partial 16S ribosomal RNA". It matches the Rfam family "Bacterial small subunit ribosomal RNA", at positions 524 to 776 of the family's 1533-position model. The record is from RNAcentral.
UACGAAGGGGGCUAGCGUUGCUCGGAAUUACUGGGCGUAAAGGGAGCGUAGGCGGACAUUUAAGUCAGGGGUGAAAUCCCGGGGCUCAACCUCGGAAUUGCCUUUGAUACUGGGUGUCGUGAGUAUGAGAGAGGUAUGUGGAACUCCGAGUGUAGAGGUGAAAUUCGUAGAUAUUCGGAAGAACACCAGUGGCGAAGGCGACAUACUGGCUCAUUACUGACGCUGAGGCUCGAAAGCGUGGGGAGCAAACAGG